GUUUAUUAUACUGACUGGGCUGAACAUUCUGCCCAUGGUCACCCUGAAGCAAGAAGUAUGAACCUGAAGGACUGGCAGCAAACAACAAAUAACUAAGUGAAAUAAUGAUUAAUCUUGUAUGACAUUUGUUUUACUUGUGCCAAUUCUAAGUCACAAUUCACGGACCUCCCGGUCAGUUUACGACAGAGCCUGGGCGUGAACCCAGGGUCUCUGGUGGCAAACCCAGGGUCUCUGGUGGCACAGCUGGCGCUGCAGUACAGGGCCCUUAACCACUGUGCCACCCGGAAAAUAAUGAUAUUUUGACACUGUCUCAAAAGUGCAAAUAAGGAAAUUAAAUACAGAAUACAUUAAAUACAGAAUACGGGUUCUUCUACUGAGAAAUAGUAAUAAAGUUGCAUACAAUUUUUUGUAGCAGUUUGUCAAAGAGAAAGCUAAUUAUCAUGACAGAUGUUUUACUUACAAUUGCAUUAUACAAAAUGACAUUUGAAAAUGUAGGUUAUAUUUUAAUCUGACUUGUAUCUGAUUUAAAUGAAUUUAAACAUG
Molecule: long non-coding RNA, 543 nt
Organism: Oncorhynchus masou masou (cherry salmon)
Lineage: Eukaryota; Metazoa; Chordata; Actinopteri; Salmoniformes; Salmonidae
Exons: 2
Source: RefSeq, a predicted model, not a curated record